CCAUAAAUGAAAAAUAGAGGAAUUUUCAAGAAAGAUGGAUUCAGCAUGUGUUGAAAGGAAUGGGACCAUUUCUGCUGACAUCUUCAACAGGCUUUGGAUAAUUGUAGACAUCUGCCGCAAACCCUCUUAAAGAUAUGGAGUAUAUGGGAAGAAGAGUGAUGGUGUAACAAAGUACCUCUUUUCAUCCUGAAUUUUGUGCACAGAAGAAAGCUUCUGCUUAUUUCUUCUCACUGCAAAAGACUGAUGCUCUAGCCUCAAAGAUAAGCAGGGGAAGGAGAGAAUUAAUGAAGAAACCAGAGAAAGACAGACAACAGUGUGAGCCAAAAAGAAUGGCAAUAAUAGAGAGAGAAGAUGUGGAAACAAUAGCUAUGGCUCUCUCAGAGUAGUUAGUUCUGCAUGCUGCUAUGGAGUAAAGGGUGAACAUUAAGUUAAAUCCCAAGUUGUGUAUGUAUGUACUUCACUGCACAGCACCAGGAUGGAUGAACACAGCAAGCC
Corvus hawaiiensis (hawaiian crow) is the source of this 495-nucleotide long non-coding RNA. RefSeq lists it as uncharacterized. The record is from RefSeq and is a predicted model, not a curated record. Lineage: Eukaryota; Metazoa; Chordata; Aves; Passeriformes; Corvidae. The transcript is spliced from 4 exons.